Molecule: ribosomal RNA, 774 nt
Filed under: uncultured Neocallimastigales
Lineage: Eukaryota; Fungi; Neocallimastigomycota; Neocallimastigomycetes; Neocallimastigales
Description: partial large subunit ribosomal RNA
Rfam family: Eukaryotic large subunit ribosomal RNA
Source: RNAcentral
GUACACGCUGUGACUAGCAUAUCAAUAAGCGGAGGAAAAGAAACUAACAAGGAUUCCCCUAGUAACGGCGAGUGAAGCGGGAAGAGCUCAAAUUUGAAAUCUUAAAGGGUUUCCCUUUACGAAUUGUAGUUUAAAGAAGUGUUUUCUGUUGAGGUUUUGGUAAAAGUUCUUUGGAAUAGGACAUCAUAGAGGGUGAGAAUCCCGUAUUUGACCUUUACUUUCAACUUUGUGAUACACUUUCAAAGAGUCGGAUUGUUUGGGAAUGCAGUCCAAAAUGGGUGGUAAAUUUCAUCUAAAGCUAAAUAUUGGCGAGAGACCGAUAGCGAACAAGUACCGUGAGGGAAAGAUGAAAAGAACUUUGAAAAGAGAGCUAAACAGUACGUGAAAUUGUCAAAAGGGAAGCGUUUGACACCAGUGUUGUUUUUCUGAAAAUCAAUUAAAGAACUGUUUAUGCUAAGCUGUUUAGACUUUAUCAGCUAUCUGUUUAGUUUUGAGCUUUUCUUUAAUGCACUUUUCAGUUAACAAGUCAACAUCAAUUUCUUUUGCUGUAAAAAAGCUUGAGGAAGGUGGCUUGAGAUUCGUCUUAGGUGUUUAUAGCCUCUUGCCUAUGCAGUCGGAGAGAUUGAGGUCUGCAGCGUAGAUCCUUCGGGGCUAAAUGCAUUUGUGCUAAGUUAUAGCAUUUUAUAGACAACUUGUUGACUAUGAUUUGUCUUGUAGCUUACUCGCUUAUGUUAUUUUACCUACGCUUAGGAUGUUGAAGAUGUAGCACAUCAU